This is a long non-coding RNA of Stegodyphus dumicola, 549 nucleotides long. The record is from RefSeq and is a predicted model, not a curated record. NCBI's taxonomy places the organism in Eukaryota, Metazoa, Arthropoda, Arachnida, Araneae, Eresidae.
UUAUCUUCAAUUUUUUUCCUUCUUUUUUUCCCUAUUUUCUAUAUUUCUAUGCAUAUUUUUCUUCUAUUUUUAUUUCUUUUCCCCUUUAUACUAUUUCUCUUUUCCUCUCUUCUUAUUUUUUGUUCCUUGCACUUCGACAUCAACGGCUCUGUUCACUUCAACACCAUCUGCACAUACUUUCAGUUGCUGUGACGAGAAUAAAUCCAUCCAUUGAGAAGAUUUCCGAUGAGGAAAAAAAAUUGAAGAAGUUUGCCUUAGGAUCCUCAUUUAUUUGGAAAAAAGAUAGAGAAAUAAUAUUUCUCUACAAUGGAUUAAACUACUCCAUUUUUCAGAGAGUUUCUGGGGAGCUCUGAUCGCCCGAUUCGUGUGGCAUUGAAAUCUCAUACGAACUAAACGAACCAGGAUGACUUUUUUGUAUUAUAUGCACUCACUUCCAAAAGUUAAGCACGGAGAGGAAAAUGCUAAUUUCCGGAAGCCAAUCAGAAGUGUAGAGGAUGCAAUUCGCUGCAGAGGUAGAUGGAAGUAUGCAAAUAUGUUAGGUAACAGCCA